AGAAAGAUACGUUCAUAGAAGGGAAAUAUCAAGCGAAAAUAAACACUGGUGCUGGAAAGAUACGUUCAGGGAAGGACGACAUCAGGAGAAAAUAAGUAAUAGCAUGGCAGUCUUGAUGAUGGCACUUAUCAAGAACAAGACACACAUUCUCUUUUGUGUUGCUCUUUUGUUGAUGUGUACCACUUUUCAGUGUGGCCUAGCGGUAGCGGGGAGGGACGUAGGUAAUUUCCAAAUUAGUUUCCUAGAUGACUUUCUUGCUAUAAAAUAGACCCAAAUGAUUAUGUAUCAUUCUUUCCAUACAUAUUAAUUUGUAUGUUGUGGUGCUUCCUUCAUUGUGUUUAGGUACCAAGGUUGCAUUUGGAAUCCAAUGUUUCACUUACUCAGUGUGCAUGGACUCAUAUCAGUAUACGGUUGAUUACCGCAACAAGGAGUGCAAAAUACUUGGUUAUGACGGCCAGAAAGGCUACUGCAAGAAGGAGAACCGUGGCGUGUGUUGUUGUGCCUAAAGUUAAAGACAAGUUAUAUUGUCAUUUUGUAGAAAAUAAUUGCAUGUAUUUGCUUGUCGGAAUACUAAUUUAUAUGGAUUUUACGAGAAUUUCAAUAACAUAUACUGGUAGUUGCUUUCGAAGACCAACUUGACUAGCUAGCCGAUCAACUCUUCAGGUCAUAUGAAUCAACAAUGAGCCAGCUAAAAACUGGAAGUACUAAUAAGUUAAAAAAAUUAAAUUGGGGAG
Molecule: long non-coding RNA, 734 nt
Filed under: Triticum aestivum (bread wheat)
Lineage: Eukaryota; Viridiplantae; Streptophyta; Magnoliopsida; Poales; Poaceae
Description: long non-coding RNA (TAES_LNC025328)
Source: RNAcentral